This 3854-nucleotide long non-coding RNA is filed under the name Mytilus galloprovincialis (Mediterranean mussel). Lineage: Eukaryota; Metazoa; Mollusca; Bivalvia; Mytilida; Mytilidae. The record is from RNAcentral.
AUCAUAUGAUCAUAAGAUGAAUGGAACAAUAACAAUGUAUCGUGAUGUAAAGGAGGAAACUGUCUACUAUAAAUUCAGACGCAAAACUGUAUACAUCAACUACAUCUGACUUGUAUACUUUAGAUAAAAGUGCAAACAAGGUAAUUAUACUUUCAUAUGUUUACUGUUUAUAUUAUAGAAUGUCUUUUCCUUUGUUCAAUCAUCUGUUAUAUAAUUUUAUUUUAAUUUAAAAUACAGAAAGCUUUUAUUAUACAAUUUAACUACAGUACUAUUUGAAAUAAUGCAAAUGGCAACAAAUUGAUACAGUCUCAGGAAUACAAAGGAAUAAAACUAUUUGAUGCAAAAUAUAACAAGAAUGUGUCCCAAAUACACGGAUACCUUAUUCGCACUAUCAUUUAGUAUUUUCAAUGGACCGUGAAAGCGGGAUAAAAACUCUUAAUUUGGCAUUAAAAUUAGAAAGAUUAUAUCAUAGGGAAUAUGUGUACUAAAUUUCAAGUUGAUUGGACUUCAACUUCAUCAAAAACUACCUUGACCAAAAACUUUAACCUGAAGCGGGACAGACGGACGAACGAACGGACGGACGAACGAACGGACGAACAGACCAGAAACCAUAAUGCGAUGGACAAAAAAAGUUGAGACGAAUGGCAAUGAUGUAAAUGAAAGAGCUAUACAUUGAAGACCACAAGACAAAACUAACGGCUGAUAUUAACUAUAAAAACAAUAAACGAAAAUACCAUUAUGGUAUACGGCAACCACCGACAGCUACUGGAUAACUGGCCUCUUGACGAGGACAGAAACACAAAAAAUAUGGCAGGGUUUAACAGGUGUGUUAACGCUCAAAACUCUCCUUAUAGUUGUGUUACACAGAAAAUGCAUGUACAAUGCUUUAUUACUUUUAAGGAAACCAUUUCAAUAUGAAGAAAUCAGCAAUUGUUGGAGCAAUGUUUGUUUUACUUCUGAUCUAUUCGUGUGGUGAGUAAACAGAAUUCCUUAUUUUACAUGUUUUAUUUGUUAAUAUAAUCUGUAAUCAAAGGGAGAGGCUUAGCGCUUUAAAACCAGGUUUAAUUCCCCAUUUUCUACAUUUGAAAUUGCCUGUACCAAGUCAGGAAUAUGACAGUUCUUGUCCAUUCGUUUUUUAUGUGUUUCGUCAUUUGAUUUUGCCAUGUGAUUACGGACUUUCCGAUUUGAUUUUCCCCUGAGUUCGGCAUUUUUGAGAUUUGACUUUUUGUAUAAUCAAGUAUCUUAUUGUAUUAUAACAAAACUUCAUCAAUAGAUUACAGCUUUCUCUUGGUCGAAAUUUACAGGUCCUAGUGAAACAAAAACUACAAACAUUUAUUUUAUUUAUUCAAUGGGACAAUGUACAAACAAAAAUUAAAUAUCUGAUCCAAAAGGGGAUUAAUCUGGUGAAAAAUUUCAUAUGGUUUGCAAUCAUAAUUACUAAAAAUAUAUUUAAUGGUAUUUCAUCUUUAUAAUUAAAAGUGUAUUUGUAAAUGAAAAACAGUAAAAAAAAACAGAUAGAAGGAAAAGGAUAUGAUAAACACAAUAAGUGAACAAACUGUUUUUGUUAACAAUGCUGUUAUUGCUAUUCUUCCAUCUCUAUUAAUAUAGAUUCUAUCUAUAAGAAGUAAAAAGAAUGUAAAAUAUUGCUGUAACAUAUUUGACUUACUAGUAAGACGUCUUUUGUUGCUGCAACUAAUGAAUCUUUCAAAUACACUUUUCAGUCAAUGAAGUACAAGGGGCGGAACCCAAAAACAGUGUACGGGUUCUCAAGUGUUCUAAACACUGCAUACUGCCAUUUACAAAAAGGAAGUGUAAAAAAUGUUGUAAAGAUAAUGGAAAGAAACACGGACGAUGCUUUUCUGUCUUUUGUGUUUGUUGGAACUGGCCGUAAGGUAUAGGGUGAGUAUAACUAAUAGUCGCCAUGAGAUGAGAAUAAACACGUAUAACUAAACCAAUGUCAGCCUUUGGACUAAGUGAGUAAAUUUUUGAACUCCAUAACAGCUUAUCUUAAAAAGAUUAUAUUUAUUCUGGGAGGUCUGAAUAAGCUUGAUUCAUCUUCAUUCACUGCAAGUUCUGUUUGGUCGAUACUUUUGUGUUGUAGGGGUCUGUAAUGCAGUGGUUGUCUUUGGUCGCUGUCUAUCAAUUAUCGUUGUUGUUAGGAGGUAUCCAAUAGAUUAAUAUUCAUUAUUAAGUUAACUCAUUAUCGAUGGCGCUAUGGUUAAAUAUACUUGCUUCCAACUGCUUUGUUCAGUCGUUGGUAGCAAUAAUAGGACAUUCCAUUUUAUAUUACAUCUUGGCGAACUUUGUAUUAACCAUUUAUGUUAUAUGCAAUGAAUUUAGUCCAUUUAGGACUUGAUUUUAUUUAUUAAGGACUCCCUUGGCAACUGAACUGGCUCGUUUCAAACGUACCACCAAUGCUACAAGUUUUUCGACUGACCGAUGGGAUUUCAAAAUUCAACAUAAAACAAAUAAAAAAAUUACAGUUACCUAUAAUAAAAAAAUGUUUAUUAAUAAAAAUAAUAUACAUAACUAAAAACUAUUCAAAGUAUUGUGUUUGUUGAUUGUAUCAUUAAACUGUGUUUAAUUCAAACUCCAAUAUCUAAAGGUAUUGUCAUAUGAUAAUACUCAUGUAUCUUCAAUUUUCUUACCUAUAAUUUUUAUGCACAUAUUGAUUGAUGUUAGUUUUUGGCGUCCAGUGACAAAUAUUUCAUAUAUAUAAGAUGAAUGCACCAAAUCUCAUGCAGAGUACAGCUAAAGUUGAACUGAUGUGUUGUAACAAUAUGUGAGGUUCUGGAAAACAAAUCUCUGAUUUUGUAUCUACGAAAAAAGUUAAAUCCCGAGAAUACUGAACUUCGAGGAAAAUCCAGAAUGGAAACCCCACUCAUCGAAUUGUCUAUCUGCCUAUUGAAAGGCCUGGAAUUUUAUUAUUUUGUUUAGAUUCAUUUACUAACAUAUAAGCUAUGCUAGUACGAGUAUACGUUCUGCUGCACGAAUUUUUUUAAAUUCCAAAAGUGCAUAUUGAACUAUAAUAUAAUAUUAAGCUGGCACCGCCAAUGUUUGAUUUGUUUACUUGUCGUUUGUUUUCGUCGUCCGUCCGUCCGUCCGUCUAUCAUUGAACACUUUUUCAAAGAGUGUAUACUCCGUGACAAAGAAUUUAUUUCCAAAAAGGGUAAAAUUUAUAUCAGAAUAACAUAAUUUUACGAGCUGGACGAAUCAGGCUUAUAAGAGCUCUGGUUUUCUGUAUAAAUCGAAAAAUUAAAAGAACCGAACCACAUUAUGCAUGACUUGAUCCAAUCAAAAGUGCUUUGUAACUCAUUUAUGAUAGUCCUUACUAUCUGGAUUAUUCCAUAUACCAUUGAUUGUACACCAUGAAUAAUUCAACAUGUAUAUUUACCAUACAACAUACCAUAAUUUGUCAAUCUCUAUUACACCACCCACCACCUCCCUCCCUAAUUACCAAAUAACAUCAUACAACAAACAAAAAAUGGAGAUAUUGUGUAUUCCUUGUUCAUUCUAAAUACUAUUAAUUAAUGUUGAGCACUGUAGAAUAACGAUAGUGAAUGUCUACUUUUUAUUUGUUGAAAGCAUAUAAAGUUAUCAAAGGUACCAGGAUUAUAAUUAAGUACGCCAGACGCGCGUUUCGUCUACAUAAGACUUAUCAUUGACGCUCAUAUCAAAAUAUUUAUAAAGCCAAACAAGUACAAAGUUGAAGAGCAUUGAGAACAAACAAUAAUCCAACUGUUUUCUUUUUCAGAACAAUGAGCCUCACGAAAACUGCUUUCUGUUAACAGGUUAAUUAAAAAAAAUUAACAAACAAAAAGACUUAGAUUUUUUACCCAAUAGUAUACAUGUAU